AGUGAACGCUGGCGGUAGGCCUAACACAUGCAAGUCGAACGGCAACACCGUAAGUGCUUGCUCUUACGGGUGGGGAGUGGGGGACGGGUGAGGUAUACAACGGAAUCUACUCUUUCGUGGGGGAUCACGUAGGGAAAGUUAAGAUAAUACCGCAUACGCCCUACGAGUGAAGGCAGGGGAUAUUCGGACCUUGUGCGAUUGAAUGAGCUGCUGUUGGUUUUGUUAGUUGGGGGGUUAAAGACCCAGCCUGGCGAGGAUCGGUGGCCGGACUGGGAGGAUGAUCACCCACACUGGAGCUGGGACACGGUCCAGGCGCCUAAGGGAGGCAGCAGUGGGGAAUGUUGGACAAUGGGCGCAAGCCUGAUCCAGCCAUACCGCGUGGGUGGAGAAGGCCUUCGGGUUGUAAAGCCCUUUUGUUGGGAAAGAAAAGCAGCAGGUUAAGACCCCGCUGUUCUGACGGUACUCAAAGAAUAAGCACCGGCUAACUUCGUG
This 492-nucleotide ribosomal RNA is filed under the name uncultured bacterium. RNAcentral describes it as "partial 16S ribosomal RNA". It matches the Rfam family "Bacterial small subunit ribosomal RNA", at positions 29 to 507 of the family's 1533-position model. The record is from RNAcentral.